Molecule: ribosomal RNA, 402 nt
Filed under: uncultured bacterium
Lineage: Bacteria
Description: bacterial SSU rRNA
Rfam family: Bacterial small subunit ribosomal RNA
Source: RNAcentral
UGGGGAAUAUUGCACAAUGGGGGAAACCCUGAUGCAGCAACGCCGCGUGAGUGAAGAAGUAUUUCGGUAUGUAAAGCUCUAUCAGCAGGGAAGAAAAUGACGGUACCUGACUAAGAAGCCCCGGCUAACUACGUGCCAGCAGCCGCGGUAAUACGUAGGGGGCAAGCGUUAUCCGGAUUUACUGGGUGUAAAGGGAGCGCAGGCGGUCUGGCAAGUCUGAUGUGAAAUCCCGGGGCUCAACCCUGGAACUGCAUUGGAAACUGUCAGACUAGAGUGCCGGAGAGGUAAGUGGAAUUCCUAGUGUAGCGGUGAAAUGCGUAGAUAUUAGGAGGAACACCAGUGGCGAAGGCGGCUUACUGGACGGUAACUGACGCUGAGGCUCGAAAGCGUGGGGAGCAAACA